GCUGCUCCCCCCAGGCGCACAGAUACCAGCAUCGCCUGCACCAUGCCUGAGGGGGCCCUGCCGGCUCCGGUGCCUGUGUGUGUGCGCUUCGAGCGUCGGGGCUGCGUGCACGGCAACCUCACCUUCUGGUACAUGCAGAACCCGGUCAUCAUGGCCAUCAGUCCCCGCCGCAGCCCUGUCAGGUGAGACUGGCACCCCGCCCUUCCCCCAGGCUCUCUGGGGCUGCAGGUGGACUGAUAGGUUUUGCUGUCCCCCGCAGUGGCGGCAGGACCAUCACAGUGGCUGGUGAGCGUUUCCACAUGGUGCAGAAUGUGUCCAUGGCCGUCCACCACAUUGGCCGGGAGCCCACGCUCUGCAAGGUUCUCAACUCCACCCUCAUCACCUGCCCGUCCCCCGGGGCCCUGAGCAACGCAUCAGCGCCAGUGGACUUCUUCAUCAAUGGGCGGGCCUACGCAGACGAGGUGGCUGUGGCUGAGGAGCUACUGGACCCCGAGGAGGCACAGCGGGGCAGCAGGUUCCGCCUGGACUACCUCCCCAACCCACAGUUCUCUACGGCCAAGAGGGAGAAGUGGAUCAAGCACCACCCCGGGGAGCCUCUCACCCUCGUUAUCCACAAGGAGCAGGACAGCCUGGGGCUCCAGAGUCACGAGUACCGGGUCAAGAUAGGCCAAGUAAGCU
Molecule: small RNA, 678 nt
Filed under: Pan troglodytes (chimpanzee)
Lineage: Eukaryota; Metazoa; Chordata; Mammalia; Primates; Hominidae
Description: retained intron
Source: RNAcentral